Maylandia zebra (zebra mbuna) is the source of this 549-nucleotide non-coding RNA. Lineage: Eukaryota; Metazoa; Chordata; Actinopteri; Cichliformes; Cichlidae. The record is from the annotation of a RefSeq genome assembly.
AUGACUGACUCUGUGUGUUUGCAUAUGUGUCCUGCCUCUCUGCUCACAGCUGUUAAGAGGCCAGUGUUGAUCAGUGGCUGUCCAGGCCUUUCAGAGCCACUCACACACCAGCAGCACAAUGAUGAUGUCACUGACUCUACUGCUGGCCACCCUGGGGCUCCUUGUUCAGGGUUCAUCAGCAGAAAUCGUCCUGACUCAGACUCCCAAAGCUCAGUCUGUUGUUCCAGGACAGACUGUCUCUAUCAGAUGUAAAUCCAGUACAUCUAUAGGUGAUGACAUUGACUGGUACCUUCAGAAAUCUGGAAAAGCUCCUAAACUCCUGAUUGUGGAUACUACAGCUCGUCAGUCUGGAGUUCCAGAUCGUUUUCGGGCAACAGCAGUUCAGACUGACUUCACUCUGAUCAUCAGUGGAGUUCAAACUGAAGAUGCAGGAGUUUAUUACUGUCAGCAGCAUAACAGCUUCCCGUUCACACAGUGAUACAACGCCGUACAAAAACCUCAAACAGCUGAAGAGGAACUGAUCAACAGCUGUAGGUACACAAUACACCA